UGUAUCAGGAUAGAUUUGAUGGCACAAUGGAGGAAGACAAGGAAAAUAGCGAGGAAAGUCAGAGAAAAAGAUGAAAAAUGUCUAAAGUUUGGGACCAUUUCAAAAAGAAGAAAAGCAAAAAUACUGUACAGUGCGUCCAUUGUAAAACCGAAUUAGCUUAAUUACCACAAUAGCACAACGUCAAUGAUUCAACAUCUCAACGGAAAGCACCCAGUCCACAGACCGGAACCAAUACAAGGUUAUUCCACCCAGGGAAGAUUUAAAUGAUACUUUAUAACAUCUGGAAAAGGUUUACAGAAGACCGUGGUGGGCCUGCUCCAUCUUCUCUUGAUCAUCAAGAUGAGACCUUGCCUAGCAUAACAAAGAAUAUGGACGCUACUUGUGAGAGGAUCUAAGUUCAAGGACUUCUGCUUUGAAUAUUAUAGCCAUCCCCACCGGCAGUUUCACUGUUCAGUAGUUUGUGUCGGGCUGCAGUUAUAUUGUUUAAAAGCAUCAGCAACCAUAUCUGGCCUGAAUCCCAACCCUUGACAAAUAACGUAAACCUCAACUACCCACGUAUGCUGUGGAUGUACUAGGGGUGUAAUGGUAGACAAAAGUCACAGUUUGGUACAAACUUCAGUUUCAGUUCCUUUUCAGUACAGCAGGGGAAUUCUGAAUUCAUUUUGAAAGUAUUUAUUACUAAAACUGCAGACACAACCAAAAUCAAGAACAGUUAUAAACCAAAGGCAAUAUGUCUGAUGUUGAUGCGUUUAAAUAAGGAAACCUAGGGAUAAUUACCUGUACAUUGUAAAAAUAUGUAAACAAGAAUUAAAAAAUAAAACUGCAUAGUAACGUUCAUAAUGACCUAAAUCUUGUUUUACUACCAUGUAUGAUUGCAUAUUUAUAGAGGUAAACACCCAUAUAGCCUUAGUUACUUUUUAUCCCGGUCAGAAUUUCCUGGUGAAAGGACAUUAAAUACCACAGGCAGACUAACUUGCAGAGGCUGUUUCUGCCCUUUGGUCAUACACACAUUUAGAUGAUGUCACCUCAAAUGAGUUAGAGGGCUAGAUGUGUUUGCAACAACAUAACUCAGUUCAGUAUAACAGAGGCAGAAUUAUCUACUUGUUCUGUCUGCUGUUGGUGAUAUUUAUUGGGAAACCAAAAUGUUCCCAAACUGUUGGUUGACUGACUGUAAACAGCUUUAGGCAUAACCAAUUCAUAGCUUUAAUUAGCAUUAAUGUUUUCCAUGAUGAACAUCUACUUAUGGAUUUAGGCUCUGCCUGUGUCAAGAAAUUCAUUCAUUUUAUUGUGCUUACCAAAGCGAAAAUGAUAUAAUCGAAUGAUACACGACAAAUGUGUGGACCUUUACAGCCCUAGUAUGUAGCUAUUUAAACAUAUGCUUGACAAUAUAGUUUCACUGUACAUGUACAAUGACAAAAUUAUUCUAUUUUAAUCUAUUAUAUUGUAUGGUAAACCUACUGGCACAUAUGCGUUAAAUACUCAUUGGUUUUUAAGAUUCACCUAAAAGAUCAAAGGCCUCAUGAUGCAUCCACUGUACUUCAAGUCAUCCUAGUAUCAUGACUGUACGUCUUUAUGUGUCAGUUAUGCAUGCUGAGGAAUGACCAGUAGAGACAGGUACUGCAUUUGGUUCUGGGACCAUAACAAUUACACUGUAGUCUGGCUGAAUGAGCCUCUUAGUAUAACAAGUAUAAUUGAGUAUAACUCAUUUAGGGUGUUUUUCCACUGCAUGAAGAUUGGUUAUGCAAUUAUCCUGCUGCUGAAACACAAUACAAAUGCCACCUUGAAAGCAGUAGUAAAUGAAUUUUUAAAAAAUAUAUAGUGAUCUUAUUAGGAGAACAGAUAUAACAAAAAGAUCAGAAUUGCAUGACAAGAAUUUUUUUUAAGUAUUUUGUUUAAUAUACUAGGACAACAUGCAUAUAGCAUAUUCCGCAUAUAGUGUGCUGUCCUAGCAAUGUGAUUUUGUUGUAAUAAGUAUUAGGGUAUUUAUAAAGCAAAAAGGAGUUCAUAUAUUUCUCACAACUCUAGAAGUGCUUUAAAACAGCAAGGAUGAAAAUGAUUAUGACUGUCUUGGAGAAUGCAUGCAGUGCUUAUGCAAAAGCAGAAGAGGAAGAGGUAAACUUUAUCUAAUCUCUUUAAAAAUCAGUUUGGUCUAUAAAAGAAAUAAUUCAAAUUGCAAAAGCUAGAUAAGGAUUUAUUUCUAUGAAAGAAUAAAAAUGUGCUAUAAUUUCCAUAUACAGAACUGAAGAUAAGAAAAUGCCUGAUCUUAACCUAGCUGACUAGCAAUGUAAAAAUUGCAUGGCAUAGCAUGCGAUGUUGGUAUUAAUAUCGCACAUCAUCCAGCAAUAUAAUAUAGUACAGCCAUUUUUCGAUUUAAGUACAAAAUACCCUGCCUCACGUUGUGAUGUCUUUCGGCGCUGGUACCAGUUUUUACACCAGUAGAAAACCAACACCUUGAAGUACCAAAAGUACAGUACCUGGUGUGGUGGAAAAGUGCCCUAAUUGUACAGAUGUUACCAAAAUAAGUUAGAAAUAUGCAUAUUUAAUGUUAAACCAUUUACCCUACCAAACACACUAUAUUACACAACCAUUUACAUAUAAAUUCCUUGUGUACAACUUCAUUUUGAAAAUAGAAAAUGCAUGUGAAUAAAUACUUUAACCUUAUAUGUUUAUUUUAUAAAUAAACUGUCUUAUUUCUGCCUGGUACUUUCUACAUGUGCUUGUUUCCGCAGCUGAAUGUUGUCGUUCAUGUGUAACGCGUGAAGUGGUGCGGUUUCACCUCUGUAGCUAAAUGCUUCAUCGCAGGCCUAUAAAUUAUGCAGCUCCAAAUGUGAGCCCCGACGCAGGUCUGUGCACACAGGAACUGGGGCGCGGGGUAAUGGUGGAGUCAGCAGACACGCAAACGAGAUGCUCUGAGCGACGGCCUCAUCUCCUUAAUUAAAUGAGACGCAGUCAGCCAGACACUAAAGCUCCGCUCAACAGCAAGUCAAUAAGUAUAAUUGAGCCAGAAAAGCCACACUGAGAAAAUCCACUCUGCGGUGGUCGUCAUGACUACUGUAUGCCUGCACUUUGUGCAUUCAAGAACAAGCAUCCCCUGAUAUGAAACUGCUAGCUAAAAUAAUAAUAAUACAGCAGAACAGCAGCUAUUUUCAGCAUGCAACCCUCCUAAUUGAAUUAGAGAAUGAAUGUUUUUUCAAUUUUAGUCUCAGAUUAAACAAGGGACAGGGCACUUGGAUGAAUUUUGAUGAAGUCUGGACUAUUGCAUGUUUCCAGCAGACUGAAUAUGAAUUUCACACACACACACACACACACACACACACACACACUAGUAGGCCAUGAGAACUGAUACUCCAUGUCGUUACCCAAAAUAAAACGCUUAUUACUCACCUGAAAUACAUUCAUAAACAUGGUCUGGUUUAAAUCCUGACAGUUACAAAAUGUUAACAGAUCACAAACCGAUUUCUGAAAGUGUUACACGGAUAAAUUGUACUUUUACUGUAAUGUUUCGCUCUGCCAUAAAUGAUUUAGUGGUUUGUUUUGUUAUUAAAAACAUUUUGUGUAGCCUGGUGACCCUCCUGGCAGCGUUUUUUCAAAGUUACCAACCUACAGUACAUUUGAUUUUAAGCUUUAUUGCAAUUGGUGAUGCAAUCACUGUCACCUUUGUUUUUCCCGUGGCCCAUCUUGAAAACUGUAUGUGUAAAUAACCUACCUGUCAUUGGUUGUUUUUUCUUCUGCUUUCUAUUUUCAGCUUAAUAUCCUAUUUUUAGAAAGUAAUUCUGUAUGAGUGUGCCAUACUAUCCUUGUAAUGUCGUUUAAUUUUACUUUAUAUAUUACUUCCAUAAGUUUUUGUGUCUCAGUCAGGUACUGCAAUUGUAAUACUGUGCCAUAAAAAGUUGAUUGUUUGUAUUUUAAGCACAGUGUUGUUUUACAUACUUGAAGGUUACAUGCCACUGUUUUUUUUGGUACUGUUUUUAAUAAAGGAGUAUAUCUUGAA
Paramormyrops kingsleyae is the source of this 3991-nucleotide long non-coding RNA. RefSeq lists it as uncharacterized. The record is from RefSeq and is a predicted model, not a curated record. Lineage: Eukaryota; Metazoa; Chordata; Actinopteri; Osteoglossiformes; Mormyridae.